This 497-nucleotide ribosomal RNA is filed under the name uncultured bacterium. RNAcentral describes it as "partial 16S ribosomal RNA". It matches the Rfam family "Bacterial small subunit ribosomal RNA", at positions 28 to 507 of the family's 1533-position model. The record is from RNAcentral.
GAUGAACGCUGGCGGCGUGCCUAAUACAUGCAAGUCGAGCGAACAGAUGAGGAUCUUGCUCGUCUGACGUUUGCGGCGGACGGGUGAGUAACACGUGGAUAACCCACCUAUCAGACUGGGAUAACUUCGGGACACCGGAUCUAAUACCGGAUAAUAUAUUGAAGCGCAUGGUUCAAUAGUGAAAUACGGUUUUGCUGUCACGUAUAGAUGCAUCUGCGCUGCAUUAGCUAGUUGUUAAGUUAACGGCUUACCAAGGCAACGAUGCGUAGCCGACCGGAGAGGCUGAUAGGCCACCUUGGAACUGAGACGCGGACAAGACGCCUACGGGAGGCCGCAGAAGGCAAUCUUCCGCAGUGGGCGAAAACCUGGCGGAGCAGCGCGAAGUGAGUGAUGGAGAUCUUCGGAUCGUAAAACUCUGUUAUUAGGGAAGAACAAAUGUGUAAGUAACUAUGCACGUAUUGACGGUACCUAAUCAGAAAGCCACGGCUAACUACGUG